This 76-nucleotide transfer RNA is filed under the name Gammaproteobacteria bacterium. RNAcentral's name for it is "tRNA-Thr". It matches the Rfam family "tRNA". Rfam says of the family: Transfer RNA (tRNA) molecules are approximately 80 nucleotides in length. Their secondary structure includes four short double-helical elements and three loops (D, anti-codon, and T loops). The record is from RNAcentral. Lineage: Bacteria; Pseudomonadati; Pseudomonadota; Gammaproteobacteria. RNAcentral also lists the same sequence under 2 other names.
GCCGGCGUAGCUCAGAUGGUAGAGCAGUCGAUUCGUAAUCGACAGGUCGGGCGUUCGAUUCGUCUCGCCGGCACCA